RNAcentral lists this transfer RNA (72 nucleotides) under Camelus bactrianus (Bactrian camel). It matches the Rfam family "tRNA". From Rfam's summary of the family: Transfer RNA (tRNA) molecules are approximately 80 nucleotides in length. RNAcentral also lists the same sequence under 2 other names. Lineage: Eukaryota; Metazoa; Chordata; Mammalia; Artiodactyla; Camelidae. The record is from Rfam by way of RNAcentral.
GGGGGAAUAGCUCAGUGGCAGCGCACAUGCUUAGCAUGCAUGGGGUCCUAGGUUCAAUCCCCGGUACCUCCA